AUUGAACGCUGGCGGCAGGCCUAACACAUGCAAGUCGAGCGAGCGGCGGACGGGUGAGGAAUGUAUGGGGACUGCCCGAUAGAGGGGGAUAACUACUGGAAACGGUGGCUAAUACCGAAUACUAUAGGAUAACCCAUAUGGGAUUAGCUAGUAGGUGGGGUAAAGGCUCACCUAGGCGACGAUCUCUAGCUGGUCUUAGAGGAUGAUCAGCUACAAUGGUGCUGUGACACGGUCCAUACUCCUACGGAGGCAGCAUUGGGGAAUGUUGCACAAUGGGCGGAAGCCUGAUGCAGCCAUGCAGCGUGUAUGAAGGAGGCCUUGUGGUUGUAAAGUACUUUCAGCGGGUAGGCGUUACCCGCAGAAGAAGCACCGGCUAACUCCGUGCCAGCAGCCGCGGUAAUAC
This 403-nucleotide ribosomal RNA is filed under the name uncultured bacterium. Its description in RNAcentral is "partial 16S ribosomal RNA". It matches the Rfam family "Bacterial small subunit ribosomal RNA", at positions 30 to 526 of the family's 1533-position model. The record is from RNAcentral.